RNAcentral lists this small nucleolar RNA (107 nucleotides) under Nannospalax galili (Upper Galilee mountains blind mole rat). RNAcentral's name for it is "Small nucleolar RNA SNORA46 (ENSNGAG00000007673.1)". The record is from RNAcentral. Lineage: Eukaryota; Metazoa; Chordata; Mammalia; Rodentia; Spalacidae.
AAAAUAAUAGCAAGAGUGGUUAUGCUGUAAUGAAAGAAUUCCUGGCUCCCUGUUCCACAGCUGACUUGUGCCAUUUUGCUGCUGCUUUAUGGAGUUAAGGAACAUGA